This 91-nucleotide transfer RNA is filed under the name Burkholderia arboris. RNAcentral describes it as "tRNA-Ala". Lineage: Bacteria; Pseudomonadati; Pseudomonadota; Betaproteobacteria; Burkholderiales; Burkholderiaceae. The record is from RNAcentral.
CGUCGCGGGUGCCGCGCACGAUCUGGCGUUCGCGCCGCCGGUCGGUCAAUCGAUCGGCGGAAUCCGGCGUUUCGAAUUGCGUCCGCGGCGC